GGCUGGAAUGUUCCCUGACGCUAGAACAUGAUUUUUACUGCCAAAUUGAGGCCUACCUUUUGAGGGUGAAUUCGCGUUCUUGCUCGACGGAGCCACUGAUUCUACAGUGCAUCUUCCCUUUCUGUUUGUUCCUAGUUACAUGACCUGGAUAGCUCCACUUGCUGCUUUCUCCAAAUUUGACCUACGUACCACAAAAAUUAAAUGUGUUUUCGUGCUCAUCUAAUCCUCUUCCAGAAAUACAUAAAGUUUCUGGCGGACAAUGAGUUAAUAUCGCUGCUUUCCUUGUUCUUAAUGGGUUUGUUCUUUCAAGAUGUAAUUGCUACUAUUUUGCAGGAUUCUAUUAAGUGUUCCUGCCAAUUCAUGGUUGGUCUUAGAAUAUCGGGGUUACUUUAUUUAUAGAUUGUUUAAAUUUGGGAUUGGGUGAAAUGCAUAUUCCGAAGUGAGGUUACUUGUGUAUAUAUGACAUAGUGCAUUACAUGGCUUUAGGGUUUUAUAGACUUGACGGUGGGAGUUUCGUUGUUUUUGUCCUUCGACAAGAUUGGUCUUUAUUAUCAUGCCAUUAGGUAAUUUGAUGGGAAAAUUUAAUGAAUUGCUACCCGGUGAUCCCCAGUCCUGCAAAGGUGAUUGAAGCUACAAUCCCAAGAAACCGCUAGGAAACGUUGGAAACUAAUUUUGGAGUUGCCUGAACUGUAUGCGGUUCUGACUAUGAGCAAAAUAACCUCUAGCAGCUACUCUUGGUAAUAUUUUCUCUUGAGAUGGUCACCGUGAAGAGUUGAUCCGAGACUACUUAAAAAACAAGAGGAGUUAAUCACAAAAUCUGUUUUGCAUCUCUCUCUCUCUCUCUCUCUCGACUGAGGAACACUCCUCGAGCUUUCACUGCAAUGACGUCUUGAAGAUCUGGUUAGUGUUGUAAUAUUCUCCUGGAAUAUUGUAAAGGAAACGGUGAAUACUGUAUCUUUAUCCUGCCUAAUAUGGAGUUUCUCUAUACUUGCAAUGUUUUUGUACUUGGACAUUCAUAUAUUUAAUACUUGCUGCGUUUUUGUAUUUGGACAUUCGAAUAUUUAAUUACGGAAUCAUUGAUAUUAAACAAUUAGUUAUUCAGAUUACAUUUUCCUUAUACGACUUCUUGCGUUACAGUCUGUAGUCAUGCUACUUUUUCAUAAGAGGAUGCAAGAAGAAAGCACUUCUCCCAUCUGUUUGUCUGGCGAAUUAAUGUCCACCUGAAGUUUUGUGGAACCUGUCAAAAGGGAACUGAAAUUGCUUGGAAGUUCCUGGAUUCGGCUGUCAACCUCAUGAACAAGUCGUUCAUUGAUCAUUAAGUGCUUCAGACUCUCUUAUUUAGUUUAGAAACGAGCAUGUGAUUGCAAAUUAACCUUUUUCUCGUUGCGACAGAAUCAUAGAGAGUGGACUACGAAGAGGAAUUCGUUUUUGCUUGUUCUUGUGGACGGACCAUUUUGAUUGACACCUGAGCUAGUCAUUUGAGUAGAUAUUUUGGUCGUGGAAAUAAUGUAUUACAUAGCGUUGCAUUUACAGUUACACAUUUGUGUGAAGGUCUGAUUUUUCUCAAUCUUUCUUUAGUUAAACUAGAGUUGUCUCCAAGAUACGAGUCGAUAAUAGAUAUACUGUUGUCAAGUAUUUGCAGCUGUCUUACAGGGCAAUCAUCCCUUUCUUUUGGCUCUAAGUUGGGGAUAUCAGUGAAAGAAGUAUCGAUUGUCACUUCGAGGUAAGAUUAUUAUUACUCCUUGGAGAUUCAAAUGUAGAAUCGCAGGGGCCAGCACUGUUGCGUGACGGAAUCAGAAACAGUUUGGUUUUCCAAGUGUUUCAAGGAGGACUUACCCUUUGGCCAGGUUGGGCUCUGUAAAGCUACUGACAUCCCUGAUGCUAAUACUAUCUUGAUGAUUGUGGAUCAAAAUGAUUAUCGCGAUGAAAUAACGUUGUGAGUGCUUAUAGCAACCCAAUUCCUUGAGGCUUUGGGGAUCCACAACUGCAAUGCAUCCUUCUCUAGUAUGAACAAUCAUCUCUUGGACCUUAUUAAUGGCGUGCUGCCGUGGGGCCCUCUUAAUUUUUUUUUUAAUGAAUCAGACAAUAUCAAGUUAGAGGAUUGUCUAAGAGGGCAAUCGCUGAGAAUGCUCCCGAGAAGUUCUGCAAUUGCCAAAUUUCCUUUAGCCAGAACUUGUAUCAAUUACAUUUGCCAAUGAAAUAGCUUGGGUUAGGGAGCCCAUCUAUUUAGCUAAUUAUGUUUUUGUUUUGAUCAUGUUCUUUCUGUUAUGCUUCUGGAUCUUUUUUUGCAUUCGUGGUGGAGUUUUAAUAUGCCUACGCGCCAGUUGCUCCUGGUGACCUCUUAUAUUUGAGGGAGCAGUGUGAUGUGGUUUUAGUGUUAACUUUGUUUUGUGUAAAAUCUUCGACAUGUAAUUCUUAUGCAUCUUGUGGAUUAAUUCUUCAGGGGGUACAAAGUGGAUCAUGAUGAGAAGGGAAAGGAGGGACAGAGGGCAUAUGAAGAGGAAGCGGUUUCAAUGUUUUGAUAAUGAUGAACCUGCUCUGAAUUGGGUUGAUAAUCUACUGGAUGUUGAUCCUCUGGACCGAUUCUGUCAUUAUCCAUCGGAAAAGGAGUAUGGACACCGGAAAUGUUCGAGGAGGGAAAGAAAUAAAGGCAAGAGACGAAGGAAGAAGAGGGAAAAACAAAGAAAAAGAAAGGCACAUUUGUCUGCCAACUAUGUUUUUGUUUUGACUACAUUCUUCUGCUAUAUUACUGAUUAUUUUGGGUCAGUAGUGGAGUUUAUAAUUGCUGUUUACAAAUAGGAAUUGCUAAUAACCGCCUUUGCAAUUUAUGGUA
Molecule: long non-coding RNA, 2833 nt
Organism: Eucalyptus grandis
Lineage: Eukaryota; Viridiplantae; Streptophyta; Magnoliopsida; Myrtales; Myrtaceae
Exons: 3
Source: RefSeq, a predicted model, not a curated record